Molecule: long non-coding RNA, 448 nt
Organism: Limulus polyphemus (Atlantic horseshoe crab)
Lineage: Eukaryota; Metazoa; Arthropoda; Merostomata; Xiphosura; Limulidae
Exons: 2
Source: RefSeq, a predicted model, not a curated record
AUCAAGACCAAAAAUGAUAGUCAGCCUCUGUGCUCUUCGAGUAAUAUUCAUCCCCCUUUUCAUGUUGUGCAACGCACAUCCUCGAACGCUUCUACCAGUGUUGUUCAAAUCUGACAUCUGCUUCGUCAUCUUCAACGUGAUAUUCGGUCUUUCCAACGGUUUUCUUUGCACUGUUGUAAUGACACAGGGUCCACAAAAAACACUUCCAGAAUUCCGACAGACAGCAGCCUCUAUACUGGCAGCUGGAUUAGGCCUUGGACUAAUGCUUGGUUCUGUGUCAUCCUAUUUAUUUGUUAAGCUGUUGUGAAAACACCUGUUCUUCGGACAAAAAGGAAAAUUUAGAAAAAAAUAGCUAUGAUUAUAUAUUUUCAGAAUAUCAAACUGUAUAGUCCAAACUUUAACCAAAUAAACAUCUGGUUUCAUGUCAUCAUUGUAAUAAACUAUAAAA